GAGGCCUUAGCUUAAUUAAAGUAUCUUAUUUGCAGUUAGAAGAUGUGAGUUAAUAUCUUACAGGUCUUU
This 69-nucleotide transfer RNA is filed under the name Osteobrama cotio cotio. Its description in RNAcentral is "tRNA-Ala". It matches the Rfam family "tRNA". Rfam says of the family: Transfer RNA (tRNA) molecules are approximately 80 nucleotides in length. Their secondary structure includes four short double-helical elements and three loops (D, anti-codon, and T loops). Further hydrogen bonds mediate the characteristic L-shaped molecular structure. tRNAs have two regions of fundamental functional importance: the anti-codon, which is responsible for specific mRNA codon recognition, and the 3' end, to which the tRNAs corresponding amino acid is attached (by aminoacyl-tRNA synthetases). tRNAs cope with the degeneracy of the genetic code in two manners: having more than one tRNA (with a specific anti-codon) for a particular amino acid; and 'wobble' base-pairing, i.e. permitting non-standard base-pairing at the 3rd anti-codon position. RNAcentral also lists the same sequence under 1 other name. Lineage: Eukaryota; Metazoa; Chordata; Actinopteri; Cypriniformes; Cyprinidae. The record is from RNAcentral.